RNAcentral lists this long non-coding RNA (519 nucleotides) under Bos indicus x Bos taurus (hybrid cattle). Its description in RNAcentral is "lncRNA (ENSBIXG00000029509.1)". The record is from RNAcentral. Lineage: Eukaryota; Metazoa; Chordata; Mammalia; Artiodactyla; Bovidae.
UGGUGAUCUGUGAGCCCUUGGUCGUGUUGCCCGCCUUCUUCCUGUGGGUCCUUGCUGGAUGCUCAUGUCCCUGUGAGCCGAGGCCCUGGAGGCUUCAGAUUUAGGUGAUGUUGCCACGUAUGACUGUCCAUCAGCCAGGAGAUGAACCCCCACCCGUGAGGCAGUGACUCAAGGUGCAAGGGAGUCCGGCAAGAAGUGUGGCGCACCCGAGUUGCUGCCACUGCUUUUUGGAUCACCCAGCACGGUGAUGUUGCCACGUAUGACUGUCCAUCAGCCAGGAGAUGAACCCCCACCCGUGAGGCAGUGACUCAAGGUGCAAGGGAGUCCGGCAAGAAGUGUGGCGCACCCGAGUUGCUGCCACUGCUUUUUGGAUCACCCAGCACGGUCUUCUGAAGUCUUCCUGAAAGCAUCCCUGGUGAUCUGUGAGCCCUUGGUCGUGUUGCCCGCCUUCUUCCUGUGGGUCUUGCUGGAUGCUCAUUGUCCCUGUGAGCCGAGGCCCUGGAGGCUUCAGAUUUAGGU